Molecule: ribosomal RNA, 1338 nt
Filed under: Pseudarthrobacter chlorophenolicus
Lineage: Bacteria; Bacillati; Actinomycetota; Actinomycetes; Micrococcales; Micrococcaceae
Description: bacterial SSU rRNA
Rfam family: Bacterial small subunit ribosomal RNA
Source: RNAcentral
GGAUUAGUGGCGAACGGGUGAGUAACACGUGAGUAACCUGCCCUUGACUCUGGGAUAAGCCUGGGAAACUGGGUCUAAUACCGGAUAUGACUGACCGUCGCAUGGUGGUUGGUGGAAAGCUUUUGUGGUUUUGGAUGGACUCGCGGCCUAUCAGCUUGUUGGUGGGGUAAUGGCCUACCAAGGCGACGACGGGUAGCCGGCCUGAGAGGGUGACCGGCCACACUGGGACUGAGACACGGCCCAGACUCCUACGGGAGGCAGCAGUGGGGAAUAUUGCACAAUGGGCGCAAGCCUGAUGCAGCGACGCCGCGUGAGGGAUGACGGCCUUCGGGUUGUAAACCUCUUUCAGUAGGGAAGAAGCGUAAGUGACGGUACCUGCAGAAGAAGCGCCGGCUAACUACGUGCCAGCAGCCGCGGUAAUACGUAGGGCGCAAGCGUUAUCCGGAAUUAUUGGGCGUAAAGAGCUCGUAGGCGGUUUGUCGCGUCUGCCGUGAAAGUCCGGGGCUCAACUCCGGAUCUGCGGUGGGUACGGGCAGACUAGAGUGAUGUAGGGGAGACUGGAAUUCCUGGUGUAGCGGUGAAAUGCGCAGAUAUCAGGAGGAACACCGAUGGCGAAGGCAGGUCUCUGGGCAUUAACUGACGCUGAGGAGCGAAAGCAUGGGGAGCGAACAGGAUUAGAUACCCCUGGUAGUCCAUGCCGUAAACGUUGGGCACUAGGUGUGGGGGACAUUCCACGUUUUCCGCGCCGUAGCUAACGCAUUAAGUGCCCCGCCUGGGGAGUACGGCCGCAAGGCUAAAACUCAAAGGAAUUGACGGGGGCCCGCACAAGCGGCGGAGCAUGCGGAUUAAUUCGAUGCAACGCGAAGAACCUUACCAAGGCUUGACAUGAACCGGAAAGAUCUGGAAACAGGUCCCCCACUUGUGGUCGGUUUACAGGUGGUGCAUGGUUGUCGUCAGCUCGUGUCGUGAGAUGUUGGGUUAAGUCCCGCAACGAGCGCAACCCUCGUUCUAUGUUGCCAGCACGUGAUGGUGGGGACUCAUAGGAGACUGCCGGGGUCAACUCGGAGGAAGGUGGGGACGACGUCAAAUCAUCAUGCCCCUUAUGUCUUGGGCUUCACGCAUGCUACAAUGGCCGGUACAAAGGGUUGCGAUACUGUGAGGUGGAGCUAAUCCCAAAAAGCCGGUCUCAGUUCGGAUUGGGGUCUGCAACUCGACCCCAUGAAGUCGGAGUCGCUAGUAAUCGCAGAUCAGCAACGCUGCGGUGAAUACGUUCCCGGGCCUUGUACACACCGCCCGUCAAGUCACGAAAGUUGGUAACACCCGAAGCCGGUGGCCUAA